GGGGAUGAAAUAGGUCUCGACAGGUGUUGGAAGGUCUGCAAUCAGCCGAGGGUCGGUUGGCCUCGUAAAAAAACCGAAAUUAAAAUAUUCGCAAACGACGAACAUUUCACUGCAAUCGCUGCUUAAUAACCAGUAGGUUGCCUCAUGCGCAACACCAGCCCUAAUCGGUGUUGCAUAUGCAUGGGUCAUUAUUAGAUUAGGGAAGAGCGCAAGAAAUACAGCCGAUAUUGCGUAGUAACCCGUAUGGGAUGUGCUGAAGACAUUUAGGUGAUUGUCUCUCUCAGCCUAAAUUGUUAAUGAUAAGAGAAGAUAAAGCUGUAAGUAUUUGCUUUCUGGAAUGCAUUUGGACGGCGGUUCGAAUCCGCCCAUCUCCACCA
Molecule: transfer-messenger RNA, 377 nt
Filed under: Vibrio parahaemolyticus
Lineage: Bacteria; Pseudomonadati; Pseudomonadota; Gammaproteobacteria; Vibrionales; Vibrionaceae
Description: Standard tmRNA
Rfam family: transfer-messenger RNA
About the family: Bacterial tmRNA, also known as 10Sa RNA or SsrA, is named for its dual tRNA and mRNA-like properties. Its role is to liberate the mRNA from a stalled ribosome.
Source: RNAcentral